AACGAACGCUGGCGGCAGGCUUAACACAUGCAAGUCGAACGGGCACCUUCGGGUGUCAGUGGCAGACGGGUGAGUAACGCGUGGGAACGUGCCCUUCGGUUCGGAAUAACCCAGGGAAACUUGGGCUAACACCGGAUACGUCCGCAAGGAGAAAGAUUUAUCGCCGAAGGAUCGGCCCGCGUCGGAUUAGCUAGUUGGUGGGGUAAUGGCCCACCAAGGCGACGAUCCGUAGCUGGUCUGAGNGGAUGAUCAGCCACACUGGACUGAGACACGGCCCAGACUCCUACGGGAGGCAGCAGU
This 300-nucleotide ribosomal RNA is filed under the name uncultured bacterium. RNAcentral describes it as "bacterial SSU rRNA". It matches the Rfam family "Bacterial small subunit ribosomal RNA", at positions 29 to 355 of the family's 1533-position model. The record is from RNAcentral.